Molecule: ribosomal RNA, 440 nt
Filed under: uncultured bacterium
Lineage: Bacteria
Description: partial 16S ribosomal RNA
Rfam family: Bacterial small subunit ribosomal RNA
Source: RNAcentral
CCUACGGGAGGCAGCAGUGGGGAAUAUUGCACAAUGGGGGAAACCCUGAUGCAGCGACGCCGCGUGAGUGAAGAAGUAUUUCGGUACGUAAAGCUCUAUCAGCAGGGAAGAAAAUGACGGUACCUGACUAAGACGCCCCGGCUAACUACGUGCCAGCAGCCGCGGUAAUACGUAGGGGGCAAGCGUUAUCCGGAUUGACUGGGUGUAAAGGGAGCGUAGACGGCAGCGCAAGUCUGGAGUGAAAUCCCAUGGCUUAACCAUGGAACUGCUUUGGAAACUGUGCAGCUAGAGUGCAGGAGAGGUAAGCGGAAUUCCUAGUGUAGCGGUGAAAUGCGUAGAUAUUAGGAGGAACACCAGUGGCGAAGGCGGCUUACUGGACUGUAACUGACGUUGAGGCUCGAAAGCGUGGGGAGCAAACAGGAUUAGAUACCCUUGUAGUC